CAGCACCUCAAGUGGUCAGGAUGAUUAUUGGGCCUAAAGCAUCCGUAGCCGGCGCUGUAAGUUUUCGGUUAAAUCUGUACGCUCAACGUACAGGCUGCCGGGAAUACUACAGCGCUAGGGAGUGGGAGAGGUAGACGGUACUCGGUAGGAAGGGGUAAAAUCCUUUGAUCUAUUGAUGACCACCUGUGGCGAAGGCGGUCUACCAGAACACGUCCGACGGUGAGGGAUGAAAGCUGGGGGAGCAAACCGGAUUAGAUACCCGCGUAGUCC
This 270-nucleotide ribosomal RNA is filed under the name uncultured archaeon. Its description in RNAcentral is "partial 16S ribosomal RNA". It matches the Rfam family "Archaeal small subunit ribosomal RNA", at positions 477 to 747 of the family's 1478-position model. The record is from RNAcentral.